RNAcentral lists this ribosomal RNA (364 nucleotides) under uncultured bacterium. RNAcentral's name for it is "partial 16S ribosomal RNA". It matches the Rfam family "Bacterial small subunit ribosomal RNA", at positions 338 to 694 of the family's 1533-position model. The record is from RNAcentral.
CCUACGGGGGGCUGCAGUGGGGAAUAUUGCGCAAUGGGCGAAAGCCUGACGCAGCGACGCCGCGUGAGGGAUGAAGGUCUUCGGAUCGUAAACCUCUGUCAGCAGGGAAGAACGGUCACUGUGCUAAUCAGCAGUGAAUUGACGGUACCUGCAAAGGAAGCCCCGGCUAACUCCGUGCCAGCAGCCGCGGUAAUCCGGAGGGUGCGAGCGUUAAUCGGAAUUACUGGGAGUAAAGCGCUCGUAGGCGGUAGGUGAAGUCAAGGGUGAAAUCCGCGCGGUCAACGUGGGAAAGGCAUUUGAAACUGGCAAACUGGAGGGUGUGAGAGGAAAGUGGAAUUCCAGGUGGAGGAGUGAAAUCCGUAGA